This is a long non-coding RNA of Sceloporus undulatus (fence lizard), 484 nucleotides long. RefSeq lists it as uncharacterized. The record is from RefSeq and is a predicted model, not a curated record. The transcript is spliced from 3 exons. Lineage: Eukaryota; Metazoa; Chordata; Lepidosauria; Squamata; Phrynosomatidae.
AUUUCCAAUGGUAGCAAUGGAAAUAAUUUUAUGGAUGGGGGUCACCACAACAUGAGGAACUGUAUUAAAGGGUUGCGGUGUUAGGAAGGUUGAGAACCACUGUCUUAACGGAUGGACCCUCUGCUGAUUUCUAGCCAUGCCAGUCUGGAUGCUUAGUGCCAUGACGUGCUCCUCAAUGUGUGCUUUCUCCUUUCAGAUGUUGAGACCCGUAUUGAUACUCGUGGACUGUCCACUGUGGCUGCUUCUGGAAUUAUCAUUGGGUGCAUAGUGGCAUUGGUGGUCCUGGUUGCAGUGGCUUACUUCGCUUCCCGUUCUUCUCAUCAAGGAGAUGGGACCCCAUCCAUGAACACGCGUUCCUACUAGAAGAGGUUCCCUGAAGCUUUUGAUGAAUGACACCUGGCAAAGGGAAGGCGGAGGAGUAAAAGGGACAACUAACAGUGUGACCUGAUGAGGACAUUUGAUGAUUAAAGUCCUGUUGAUGCCA